UGGGGAAUUUUGGACAAUGGGCGAAAGCCUGAUCCAGCAAUGCCGCGUGUGUGAAGAAGGCCUUCGGGUUGUAAAGCACUUUUGUCCGGAAAGAAAUCCUUGGCUCUAAUACAGUCGGGGGAUGACGGUACCGGAAGAAUAAGCACCGGCUAACUACGUGCCAGCAGCCGCGGUAAUACGUAGGGUGCAAGCGUUAAUCGGAAUUACUGGGCGUAAAGCGUGCGCAGGCGGUUUGCUAAGACCGAUGUGAAAUCCCCGGGCUCAACCUGGGAACUGCAUUGGUGACUGGCAGGCUAGAGUAUGGCAGAGGGGGGUUAGAAUUCCACGUGUAGCAGUGAAAUGCGUAGAGAUGUGGAGGAAUACCGAUGGCGAAGGCAGCCCCCUGGGCCAAUACUGACGCUCAUGCACGAAAGCGUGGGGAGCAAAGCAGGAUUAGAUACCCUGGUAGUCCACGCCCUAAACGAUGUCAACUAGUUGUUGGGGGACUUCAUUUUCCUUAGUAACGUAGCUAACGCGUGAAGUUGACCGCCUGGGGAGUACGGUCGCAAGAUUAAAAC
Molecule: ribosomal RNA, 557 nt
Filed under: uncultured bacterium
Lineage: Bacteria
Description: partial 16S ribosomal RNA
Rfam family: Bacterial small subunit ribosomal RNA
Source: RNAcentral